CCACCCUCCUCCACCCCCAUUCAGGGUCCUGCCUGAAAGCUCUGCCUCCCCAUCCCCAGAGCACCUGCCACUGAGCCCAGCGCUUCAUUUUCAAAGGCUGAUGAAAAGAGGUAAAGUGUCUGCCUGCAAUGUGGGAGACCUGGGUGCUAUUCCUGAGCCUGGAAGAUCCCCUGGAGAAGGAAAUGGCAAUCCACUCCAGCGCUCUUGCCUGGAAAAUCCCAUGGACGGAGGCGCCUGAUAGGCUACAGUCCAUGGGGUCGCAAAGAGUAGGACACGAUUGAGCGGCUUCGCUUUCACUUUCCCCUUUCGAGUACAGUGAAGGACACGCUGCUGUCUUAUGAAACCCCCGCGGCUGUGCAGGAAGCAUUCUGAUUUUCCUGGAAAUAUCUAAACGAGGUAGGAGAAACUUAGGCACAGUCUAUCACACAGGACACCCAGGAAUUGCUUGUUCCUGUACUAGUCUUGAGCGAGUAUAAAGGCAAGUGAGCCCCCUGGGAGGCUUGUCACCCACCACGCCGCCCACACUCAAAUGUAGUUUUGUAAAGUCGCACCUGUCCUGUGAACAAGAGGCUCCUUUCUCCCUCUCAAAAUGUGUGUUGAAAAAACACCUUAGAUAGUGUUAUAGACUCUUACUUGACCUGGUGUGUGAUCUUCAAAUUAACAUUUCUUUUUUUCCUUUCUAGCUGAACUACUAUGAUUCUAUCAAAGCUGUCAUUUCAAGCUCCAACCACGAGCCCGCUGCUCUAGUCCUAGGGUGCACUCUGGGAACAACAAAUGUCGAGCAAAAGAUGAAAGAAAUAAAGGAUGUUGGGGAAAAUGUCAAAGCAAGAAAAGACCAAGCAUUCCUUGGUUUGCCCCAAAGGCGAGCAGAAUGUGAUCAAACGGUUUUCUGCAUCCACAAAGGAGUCAAGGCAUUUACGUUCUGCAAGGGAAAGAACUUACUGUUGACAGGUGGAAUGCAUCGGAUAAUUAGAGUCUGGAAUCCUUAUCUGCCUGGAAAACCAACAGGUAUGCUGAGAAGCCACACAGCUCCAGUGAUUUACAUCCAUGUGUCUGCUGAGGAUAACAAGAUAUUUUCCAUGUCCACCCACAACACCAUUGAGGUCUUUGCCCUGUUAUGUUUUGAUGUGUUAUCCAGUGCGGUUUCAGACAGAGAAGGUGUUCCUUUCAUGUUUUCAUUCCUCUCUCUGGAGCCUUUGGGGCCUCUGAUUAGCAGAUACUCAGAUGACACUUGCUUCCAUGGAUCUGCUUUUGAAAGGAAGAAUAGGCAAGCAGGGGAAGGGCAGCCUUUCCGAGAACUUUCUAUACCUGCUGUUUUGUUGGGAUGAGUAAACGUUAUAGCACUGAGCCCUCUGCUUACACUCCAUCCAGAGAUUCCUUGUGAGAAUGCAGGUUGGGGAUGGAGAGGGGGAGCUGGGGACAGAAUGGGGACAAGAGUCAGCAGUCCUUUGCCUCUAGAGGUGGUCAUCUUAUCUUGCAGUACACAGAGAGCAAGUGGGCCCUUUCUGAAACGCUCUCUCCAAGGCUUAGAAUUUAAACCUUUCUGGCCCUGGCAGAGGUAGCAACAUCCCUACCUUCAGUUUGUUUGCCUUCAUACCUCUUUUUAUACCCAGGGUCCUGUCUGCCUCUAAAGACCAGUCACUCUGUUAUCUCUGGAAUACGCUAUUUUUUUAAAUAAAAAAGAAGAAAAACCUCACUGAUUUGUUUCAUCCAUCACCUCAUAUGCUUUUCCAGUAAAUAUGACAAAUUUCCAUGGCUCAUCCACCUUCUUUUCUGGACUGUCACAGGGCCAGAGGAUGGGUGUUUAGAGCAAUAUGAGUUGCUGGACCCUCAGGACAGAGAUCAUAUUCACUGCAGAUAUAUAAACCAGCUCACUGACCCCUCACAUAAUAAAUGAUUGAUAGACACUGAGCUGAACUGUGUCUCUUCAAAAUUCAUAUGUCAAAGUGUUAACUCCCAGUACUUUAGAAUAUGGUUGUUUUUACAGAUAAGGCCUAUAAAGAAAUUGCUGGGUUUUUGCUUAGUCACUAAGUCAUGUCCAAUUCUUUUGAAACCCCAUGGACUAUAGCCCGCCAGGCUCCUCUGUCUACGGGAUUUCUCAGGCAAGAAUACUGGAGUGGGUCACCAUUUCCUUCUCCAGGGGAUCUUCCCAACCCAGGGAUUGAACCCAAGUCUCUUGCAUCCCCUGCACUGGCUGGCAGAUUCCUGACCACUGAGCCCCAGGGAAGCCCCUACAAAGCAAUACUGAAGGUUAAAUGAGGUCAUGUUGGUGGGCCCUAAUCUAGUACGACUGAUGUCCUUAUAAGAAGAGGAAAUCAGGACACUUAGACUGAGAGGCAACCUUGCAAGGACACAGCAGGAAGAUGGUCUUCUGCAAGCCCAGGAGAAAGGCCAUUGAAGAAUCCAAAUCUUUCCAUGCCUUGAUUUUGGACUUAAAUCUCUUACUUCACACUGUACAAAAAGGUUAACUCAAAACGGAUCAUAGACCUAACUGUAAAAAGAGCUACACCUACCAAACUCAUAGAAGAAAACAUGGGACCAAAUCUUCGUGACCUUGGUCUAGGCAAUGAUUUCUUAGAUAUGGCAUCAAAAGCAUAAGAGACUAAAGGAAAAAAUGAGUUGAUUUCCUCAAAAAUAAAAACUCGUGCUUUAAAGGACAAUAUUAAGAAAGUGAUUAGACAGCCUACAGGAUGAGACAAAAUACCUGCAAACCACAUAUCUGAUGAGGGACUUGCACCUAGAAUACAAAGAACUCAGUGCUCAGCACUAAAAGCACAAAUAGCUUAUUUUUAAAUGGGCAAAGGACUUGGACAGAAAGACCUUUAAAGAAAAUAUUCAAACGGCCAGUAAACACAGGACAAGAUGCUCAACAUCAUUAAUCACUAUGAAAAUUCAAACCACGCCCAUUAGGAUGGCUAACAUUAAAAGAUAGAUGAUAACAAAUGUUGGCAAAGAAGUAGAGAAAUUGGAACCUUUGUGGAUUGCUGGUAGGAAUUUAAAUGGUACAGCCACUUUGGAAAACAUUUUGGUACUUCUUUAAAUGCUAACCAGAAAGUUAACAUAUGACCUAGCAUUUCCACUCCUGGGUUUAUACCCAAGAGAACCGAAAACAUCUGUUCACAAAAAUACUUACAUAUUCAUAGCAGCAUUCAUGACAGCCAAAGAGUAGAAAUAAACCAACUGUCCACGAACCAAGGAAUGGAUAAACAAAAUCUGAUCAGCCAUACAAUGGGGCAUUAUUCAGCAACAGAAAAUAGAAAUGAAGCACUAUCAUAUGAUACAACACAGAAAACAUGAGAAGCUCUAAGUGUUAAGUGAAAGCCAGUCACAGAGGGCUGUGUACUGUGUAAUUCCGUUUAUAUGAAAUGUCCAGAGUAGGCAAAUUCAGAGACAGAAAUGAGCUUAGUGCCUGUCACGGGGUGGGGUGAGGUGGGAAUAGGGGGCAGCAAUUAAUGGGUAUGGGGUUUCCUUUUGGAGGAAUGAAAAUUUUUUGAAAUUCGUGUCAAUGGUUGCACAACUCUGUGAAUAUGCCAAAAACCAUUGAAUUGUAUGCUUUAAAAUGUAAAUUUUGUAGUAUGUGGAUUAAAUGUCAAUAAAGCUGUGAUUGGAAGAAAAGUUAUGACCAACCUAGAUACUAUAUUCAAAAGCAGAGACAUUACUUUGCCGACUAAGGUCCGUCUAGUCAAGGCUAUGGUUUUUCCUGUGGUCAUGUAUGGAUGUGAGAAUUGGACUGUGAAGAAGGCUGAGCGCCGAAGAAUUGAUGCUUUUGAACUGUGGUGUUGGAGAAGACUCUUGAGAGUCCCUUGGACUGCAAGGAGAUCCAACCAGUCCAUUCUGAAGGAGAUCAGCCCUGGGAUUUCUUUGGAGGGAAUGAUGCUAAAGCUGAAGCUCCAGUACUUUGGCCACCUCAUGUGAAGAGUUGACUCAUUGGAAAAGACUGUGAUGCUGGGAGGGAUUGGGGGCAGGAGGAGAAGGGGACGACCAAGGAUGAGAUGGCUGGAUGGCAUCACGGACUCAAUGGACGCGACUCUGAGUGAACUCCGGAAGUUGGUGAUGGACAGGGAGGCCUGGCGUGCUGCAAUUCAUGGGGUCGCAAAGAUUCGGACACGACUGAGCGACUGAACUGAACUGAACUGAAAGCUGUGAUUUUCUUUUUUUUUGUUUUUAAAGAAGAGGGGGAGU
This 4182-nucleotide long non-coding RNA is filed under the name Capra hircus (goat). RNAcentral's name for it is "lncRNA (ENSCHIG00000005994.1)". The record is from RNAcentral. Lineage: Eukaryota; Metazoa; Chordata; Mammalia; Artiodactyla; Bovidae.